This 776-nucleotide ribosomal RNA is filed under the name uncultured Neocallimastigales. RNAcentral's name for it is "partial large subunit ribosomal RNA". It matches the Rfam family "Eukaryotic large subunit ribosomal RNA", at positions 24 to 635 of the family's 3401-position model. Lineage: Eukaryota; Fungi; Neocallimastigomycota; Neocallimastigomycetes; Neocallimastigales. The record is from RNAcentral.
UAUCUCUGUAGAGUCUGCAUAUCAAUAAGCGGAGGAAAAGAAACUAACGAGGAUUCCCUCAGUAACGGCGAGUGAAGCGGGAAGAGCUCAAAUUUGAAAUCUUCAAGGUUCUACCUUGACGAAUUGUAGUUUAAAGAAGUGUUUUCUGUUGGAAGUUUCGGUAAAAGUUCUUUGGAAUAGGACAUCAUAGAGGGUGAGAAUCCCGUAUUUGACCGUUAUCUUUCAGCUGUGUGAUACACUUUCAAAGAGUCGGAUUGUUUGGGAAUGCAGUCCAAAAUGGGUGGUAAAUUUCAUCUAAAGCUAAAUAUUGGCGAGAGACCGAUAGCGAACAAGUACCGUGAGGGAAAGAUGAAAAGAACUUUGAAAAGAGAGUUAAACAGUACGUGAAAUUGUCAAAAGGGAAGCGUUUGACACCAGUGUUGUUUUCUCGAAAAUCAAUUAAAAAUGGCUUGAUUUUGUGUUGUAUUGACCUUAAAAGCUUUCUUCACUUUUUUCAUGUCUUUUUUAAUGCACUUUUCGUUUAACAAGUCAACAUCAGUUUCUUUUGUUGUAAAAAGGUCAUUGGAAGGUGGCUUUCUUUUCGGAGAAAGUGUUUAUAGCCUUUGACUUCUGCAAUCGGAGAGACUGAGGUCUGCAGCGUAGAUCCUUCUGGAUUAGAUUCGUUUGUGCUAAGUUACAACCGUUUAUAGACAACUUGUUGACUAUAUUCGAUCCUGUAGCUUACUCGCUUAUGUAAUUUUACCUACGCUUAGGAUGUUGAAGAUGUAGCACAUCAU